This 31-nucleotide transfer RNA is filed under the name Guadua angustifolia. RNAcentral describes it as "partial tRNA-Ser". The record is from RNAcentral. Lineage: Eukaryota; Viridiplantae; Streptophyta; Magnoliopsida; Poales; Poaceae.
CCAGAGCUAUCAACCACUCAGCCAUCUCUCC